CAGUGCCACGGCCGUUUGAGCUAAGGGUCGGUUAGACAAUAAAAGGCGCAGAUUACUGCGCCUUUUUU
RNAcentral lists this small RNA (68 nucleotides) under Kluyvera cryocrescens. Its description in RNAcentral is "Salmonella enterica sRNA STnc40". It matches the Rfam family "Salmonella enterica sRNA STnc40". Lineage: Bacteria; Pseudomonadati; Pseudomonadota; Gammaproteobacteria; Enterobacterales; Enterobacteriaceae. The record is from RNAcentral.